ACAUCCAGAGAACUUAGCAGAGAUGCUUUGGUGCCCUUCGGGGAACUCUGAGACAGGUGCUGCAUGGCUGUCGUCAGCUCGUGUUGUGAAAUGUUGGGUUAAGUCCCCGNAACGAGCGCAACCCUUAUCCUUUGUUGCCAGCGGUUCGGCCGGGAACUCAAAGGAGACUGCCGGUGAUAAACCGGAGGAAGGUGGGGAUGACGUCAAGUCAUCAUGGCCCUUACGGCCAGGGCUACACACGUGCUACAAUGGCGCAUACAAAGAGAAGCGACCUCGCGAGAGCAAGCGGACCUCAUAAAGUGCGUCGUAGUCCGGAUUGGAGUCUGCAACUCGACUCCAUGAAGUCGGAAUCGCUAGUAAUCGUAGAUCAGAAUGCUACGGUGAAUACGUUCCCGGGCCUUGUACACACCGCCCGUCACACCAUGGGAGUGGGUUGCAAAAGAAGUAGGUAGCUUAACCUUCGGGAGGGCGCUUACCACUUUGUGAUUCAUGACUGGGGUGAAGUCGUAACAAGGUAAGCGUAGCGAG
This 528-nucleotide ribosomal RNA is filed under the name uncultured bacterium. Its description in RNAcentral is "bacterial SSU rRNA". It matches the Rfam family "Bacterial small subunit ribosomal RNA", at positions 984 to 1509 of the family's 1533-position model. The record is from RNAcentral.